This 1427-nucleotide long non-coding RNA is filed under the name Gossypium barbadense (sea-island cotton). RNAcentral's name for it is "long non-coding RNA (GBAR_LNC015348)". Lineage: Eukaryota; Viridiplantae; Streptophyta; Magnoliopsida; Malvales; Malvaceae. The record is from RNAcentral.
GAGUGUGUAAAGUAGAUGAAGAGAAAGUUAGAUCCCUAAAGCAGUAUAAUGGGGUGGCUAAUCAUACUUUUGAAGAGAGAGCAGUGGAGAGAGGCCAUGCAUGUAUGUUCUUCCUUUAUAUUCUUUGUAAGAUAAGUAAGUAGAUUCAACAUUAUGUAUGUCUUUAAUGUCUUCAUUUCUAUAUAUUCUGAUUUAAGGUUUUGGGUGAAAGUUGUGUGGUUUCGAUAUUGCCUUGUAUAUAUUUGAUGGAUCAUAUUUUAUUUUAAGAUAAAUGAGGAGUCUGAAAUAUUCAAUCUGCAAUGUCACCCGUAUGCAUCUUCAACUCCUUGCAUUUCUCAAAUAUAAUAGAUUAAUCUAAAUCAUGAUCAACGCCUAGUUUUGUACUUUUAUGCUUAAUAAUGUCAAUUUUUAUGGUUUUGGCUUUUUAUUUUACAUCUCUAAUCUAUCCAACUUUUAUUUACUUUUUCUAUUAGAUGUGUGGUAGUAAAAUAUAGUUGCAUUCAAGAGACAUUAAUGCAUCAAAGUUGUUGGACGUGCAGGUCAUGAAUUAUUAUUUGAUUCGUUCAGAAGAAUAAAGUAUAGUUAAAGCCAAAAAUUUAACAGUAAUUCAGAUUAUGAAAUAUUUUAGGGAAACCUUAGUAACUGAAGGCAAGUUUAGUGGGCUUUAGUUGAUCGGCCACUCAGUAAUUUUGCAGAGCUGAAGGGGAAAAAAUCUGAUGUAUAACUUGGGCUGAUGACUGAGAGGGUCCACUUGAGAUAAGUAAGGUGACCCUCUUGAAUCUGUUAUAAUGAAGGAUAUCGAAUUUGGGUUUGAUUCUGUGGAUUCAUUCCAUUCUUUUAGGAGGUAAAUUUAUCCAAUCAAAGUUAUAUUUAUAUAUAUUGGUUGGACGCAAUUAGCUAAACAAAUCAAAAUGAGUUUAAAUUGUGGUUCGCAAGUAUGUUUAAGUUAUUAAUCUCUCUUUUUCAUAGAUAUGAAAGAAGAGUGGGACCAAUGUAAAACAGAAGGGCAUGGGCUUGGGCCGAGCAUGAGAAAAAGGAUGAUUAAAAGGUGAAUAAUCGCAGUGUGGCAAGUAGCUAUAGAUUGUGACAUAUCAUAUUCCUUCUUUUUUAUUCUUAACUUUAGGAGGAUUAUACCCUUCAAUGGUGGCAAUCGGCAACUUCAAAACAUUGAAUGAAAAGGAAUGUAAAACGUAUCAAACUAAGUGCAUAUGUAUCUGUCAAGAUCCGUUUUAUGCGUCUAUUCUAUUCUAGAGUUAUGUUGCUCUGAUACCCAAUACAAUACAUGUAAGUUUUUUUGAAAUCAUAUCCAUUUAAACUGAAUUUUCCUAUGGAACCAGAAACGUAUUAGAAACUGGCACUUAUUUUAGACAUGAAUACAAGGAUGACACCUACAUACCAGGAACAAUACAUAACGAAUAUCUGUAUCU